This 615-nucleotide ribosomal RNA is filed under the name uncultured bacterium. RNAcentral describes it as "bacterial SSU rRNA". It matches the Rfam family "Bacterial small subunit ribosomal RNA", at positions 338 to 946 of the family's 1533-position model. The record is from RNAcentral.
CCUACGGGAGGCAGCAGUGGGGAAUUUUGGACAAUGGGCGCAAGCCUGAUCCAGCAAUGCCGCGUGAGUGAAGAAGGCCUUCGGGUUGUAAAGCUCUUUUGUCAGGGAAGAAACGGAUGGGGCUAAUAUCCCUGUCUAAUGACGGUACCUGAAGAAUAAGCACCGGCUAACUACGUGCCAGCAGCCGCGGUAAUACGUAGGGUGCAAGCGUUAAUCGGAAUUACUGGGCGUAAAGCGUGCGCAGGCGGUUUUGUAAGUCUGUCGUGAAAUCCCCGGGCUCAACCUGGGAAUUGCGAUGGAGACUGCAAGGCUAGAAUCUGGCAGAGGGGGGUAGAAUUCCACGUGUAGCAGUGAAAUGCGUAGAGAUGUGGAGGAACACCGAUGGCGAAGGCAGCCCCCUGGGUCAAGAUUGACGCUCAUGCACGAAAGCGUGGGGAGCAAACAGGAUUAGAUACCCUGGUAGUCCACGCCCUAAACGAUGUCUACUAGUUGUCGGGUCUUAAUUGACUUGGUAACGCAGCUAACGCGUGAAGUAGACCGCCUGGGGAGUACGGUCGCAAGNUUAAAACUUAAGGAAUUGACCGGNUGAGAGNGCGAGACGACGACGAGGAGAGG